This 618-nucleotide long non-coding RNA is filed under the name Capsicum annuum. RNAcentral's name for it is "long non-coding RNA (CANN_LNC018426)". Lineage: Eukaryota; Viridiplantae; Streptophyta; Magnoliopsida; Solanales; Solanaceae. The record is from RNAcentral.
AAAGUGCAAGAAUCUUAAAUACUGCAUUAAUCAAUAACUAUGUUCAUAUGGACUGGACAAAUCUCUAAAUACAAUUAUAAUAAUACUGCUUCUAUGUUUUAUAAUUCUCGAGAUACAUAUAUUUAAACUAAAAUAUAAAGAUAGGGUAUAGACAGAUAGGUGCUACUGUAUAUAACUAUUAAAAACUUCAAUCGAUAACUACUUAUAUAUCUUAUUUUAGCUGAAACUAACUAAGACAAAUUAUCUCCACUUGCUUUUUUGAAUUUUCUUCUAGAAUAAGUCCAUAAGGGAGUAGUCGUAUCAUUCUAUCUAUCAUAGCUAUGGUAGCUAAUCUGCUUCAAAUUCACUUCAAUGUGAAGAUUGUUUUUUUCUAAUCUUCAAAAUUCUGCAUUUUUCAUAUACCAAUUGUGACAAUUUGCUCUUAUACCAGAGGUGAGAAAAUUUAAAGAGUAAGAACACUCAAUCGAAAUUUACCUAGUCAACUUCAUUAUUCUACGAUUGUUACUAGGACGUCAAGAUUCAAACUCUGCAUAGUUGUUUUCUUCGGUGAUAUGGUUCUUGUGGGUCCAUCCCCAUUAAUGCCUUUGAAAAUUUGAUUCAUGGCAUGGCUUAUUUUUU